Molecule: long non-coding RNA, 161 nt
Organism: Brienomyrus brachyistius
Lineage: Eukaryota; Metazoa; Chordata; Actinopteri; Osteoglossiformes; Mormyridae
Exons: 3
Source: RefSeq, a predicted model, not a curated record
UACACACACGAGUCAGGUGUGUGGCUGCGGAUCUAUUAACGUUGAAUUCCAGCAAAGGAGACAGAAAUUAUUGAGGGACAGGUAGAGCAGGGUCAUUCAGAUGUACAGUGUCAGAAAGCAAAUUCAGACAGCGGUUGCCUGGAUCAACACCCAGUACUGGG